This 790-nucleotide small RNA is filed under the name Pan troglodytes (chimpanzee). RNAcentral's name for it is "processed transcript". Lineage: Eukaryota; Metazoa; Chordata; Mammalia; Primates; Hominidae. The record is from RNAcentral.
UGCCUGUGGACAAAGCCAAGGCACCCCUGAGAGAGCUUCUCCGAGAGCGGGCAGAGAAGAUGGGCCAGAAUCUCAACCGUAUUCCAUACAAGGACACAUUCUGGAAGGGGACCACCCGCACUCGGCCCCGUGAGUCACCACUGUGGGAAGAAGGGUUGUAAAAGGAAAUAAUCCUGGCCUCUUGGGGCUGGGUUAGGGUGAAGCUGGGUACCUGACCUGCCCACACUCUUAGGAAAUGGAACCCUGAACAAACACUCUGGCAUUGACUUCAAACAGCUUAACUUCCUGACGAAGCUCAACGAGAAUCACUCCGGAGAGGUGACCCCUGCCCUUCUUGCCCUUCCCUCACUAAACCCCCAUAAAUUACUUGCUUUGUACCUGUUUUAAGUUUUUCCUCCAGUUAGUGGGCAAGGAAGUGGCAGCAACAGUUCAAGCCUCCUAACCCCUACCUGUCCUGCAGCUAUGGAAGGGCCGCUGGCAGGGCAAUGACAUUGUCGUGAAGGUGCUGAAGGUUCGAGACUGGAGUACAAGGAAGAGCAGGGACUUCAAUGAAGAGUGUCCCCGGCUCAGGAUUUUCUCGCAUCCAAAUGUGCUCCCAGUGCUAGGUGCCUGCCAGUCUCCACCUGCUCCUCAUCCUACUCUCAUCACACACUGGAUGCCAUAUGGAUCCCUCUACAAUGUACUACAUGAAGGCACCAAUUUCGUCGUGGACCAGAGCCAGGCUGUGAAGUUUGCUUUGGACAUGGCAAGGGGCAUGGCCUUCCUACACACACUAGAGCCCCUCAUCCCA